GACAGAGGGUGCAAACGUUGUUCGGAAUUACUGGGCGUAAAGGGCUCGUAGGCGGCCAACUAAGUCAGACGUGAAAUCCCUCGGCUUAACCGGGGAACUGCGUCUGAUACUGGAUGGCUUGAGAUUGGGAGAGGGAUGCGGAAUUCCAGGUGUAGCGGUGAAAUGCGUAGAUAUCUGGAGGAACACCGGUGGCGAAGGCGGCAUCCUGGACCAACACUGACGCUGAGGAGCGAAAGCCAGGGGAGCAAACGGG
RNAcentral lists this ribosomal RNA (253 nucleotides) under uncultured bacterium. RNAcentral's name for it is "partial 16S ribosomal RNA". It matches the Rfam family "Bacterial small subunit ribosomal RNA", at positions 524 to 776 of the family's 1533-position model. The record is from RNAcentral.